RNAcentral lists this unclassified non-coding RNA (337 nucleotides) under soil metagenome. RNAcentral describes it as "partial contains 5.8S ribosomal RNA, internal transcribed spacer 2, and large subunit ribosomal RNA". The stretch from base 1 to 120 matches the Rfam family "5.8S ribosomal RNA", at positions 35 to 154 of the family's 154-position model. The record is from RNAcentral.
GAUGAAGAACGUAGUGAAAUGCGAUAAGUAAUGUGAAUUGCAGAAUUCAGUGAAUCAUCGAAUCUUUGAACGCACAUUGCGCCCGCCAGUAUUCUGGCGGGCAUGCCUGUUCGAGCGUCAUUUCAACCAUCAAGCCCCCGGGCUUGUGUUGGGGACCUGCGGCUGCCGCAGGCCCUGAAAAGCAGUGGCGGGCUCGCUGUCACACCGAGCGUAGUAGAUUUUAUCUCGCUCUGGGCGUGCCGCGGGUUCCGGCCGUUAAACCACCCUUUUAACCCAAGGUUGACCUCGGAUCAGGUAGGAAGACCCGCUGAACUUAAGCAUAUCAAUAAGCGGAGGA